RNAcentral lists this ribosomal RNA (253 nucleotides) under uncultured bacterium. RNAcentral's name for it is "partial 16S ribosomal RNA". It matches the Rfam family "Bacterial small subunit ribosomal RNA", at positions 524 to 776 of the family's 1533-position model. The record is from RNAcentral.
UACAGAGGGUGCGAGCGUUAAUCGGAAUUACUGGGCGUAAAGCGUGCGUAGACGGUUAUUUAAGUCGGGUGUGAAAGCCCCGGGCUCAACCUGGGAAUUGCAUUCGAGACUGAAUAGCUAGGGUACGGUAGAGGGAAGCGGAAUUUCCGGUGUAGCGGUGAAAUGCGUAGAUAUCGGAAGGAACAUCAGUGGCGAAAGCGGCUUCCUGGACCAGUACCGACGUUCAGGCACGAAAGCGUGGGUAGCAAACAGG